CUUAUGUUCAAAAGGAGAGGAGUUUAGCACUCCCCGUGACAAGGAUGGAAUAAAUCAUAAAGGCAUUU
RNAcentral lists this non-coding RNA (68 nucleotides) under Rhodnius prolixus. Lineage: Eukaryota; Metazoa; Arthropoda; Insecta; Hemiptera; Reduviidae. The record is from RNAcentral.